Molecule: transfer RNA, 67 nt
Filed under: Boccardiella hamata
Lineage: Eukaryota; Metazoa; Annelida; Polychaeta; Spionida; Spionidae
Description: tRNA-Gln
Source: RNAcentral
UACGACCUGGUGUGAACAUGCACGCGGACCUUUGGCAUCCGAGGAAUAGGUAACCCUAUGGUUGUAA